This 256-nucleotide ribosomal RNA is filed under the name uncultured bacterium. RNAcentral's name for it is "partial 16S ribosomal RNA". It matches the Rfam family "Bacterial small subunit ribosomal RNA", at positions 521 to 776 of the family's 1533-position model. The record is from RNAcentral.
UAAUACGGAGGGUGCAAACGUUGCUCGGAAUUAUUGGGCGUAAAGCGCACGUAGGCGGUCCGCUAAGUCGGAUGUGAAAGCCCUCGGCUUAACCGAGGAAGUGCAUCCGAAACUGACGGGCUAGAGUACGGAAGAGGGUUUCGGAAUUCCCGGUGUAGAGGUGAAAUUCGUAGAUAUCGGGAGGAACACCAGUGGCGAAGGCGGAAACCUGGGCCGAUACUGACGCUGAGGUGCGAAAGCGUGGGGAGCAAACAGG